UUCUGAUCUAGAUCAUUUGAUAUCUGCUACCCGGAGCCCACUUAAAUCAGGAGGUCUACAACUAGAGCCAACUGCCUAUGCGAGUGGACAAAGAACUACAUCUACAUUUAAGGAUUAAUCAGGCCCAGCUGCAGCUCUGAGAGUCCCUAAUGGCUCGGACGGACGCUAAUGGGUUUAUGGGACCGGGGGAACAACCCAGAUCUGUGCAGCGUGACCAGACUUACAAGCCACCAUGGCUUGAACUACUCUGCUCCACCACGCCCUCCAGCUAUGCUGAAUCAAAUCUUCAGAAACCAUGAGCUCUGUGUAGCGUUUCCUCCUUUAUGUGAUUCUCGAAGGUAUCUGUCUCGCUAACACAGAGCAAAGGAAGAGUGCUGGAGUCAGAGGAGAUACUUGAAAGAGAAAAGCAGUUUCAUCACAGAGGAGGACGCCUAGAGUGGGCUGCGCCUGUCUGCCGGAGCGUCUUUUCUUCCUCCUGUCCUCUGGGACAACCUAAGGAAGAUGGUCGCUCUGCUGUACCUCUGACCACUGACAGGCUUUGAAAGACUUUUCCUGGCCAGGGGCUGCUAGCUCUCUACACCUCAGGAAACCAUUCAAGAUAUCUUUCCCAGGGGAUGGAGAGAUGGCUCAAUGCUGAACAGAGAGCUUGUUCUGCCUUCAAGAGAACCCCAGUUCAGGUCCCAGCUCCCACAAGAGUCACAACUGCCUAUGACUCCACCAGUCCUCCAAGGCAUUCCUUGCCCACCCCCCCCACCCCCGCAUAUACUUACAUAGACAUAUGCACACAAAUAAAAAUAAAUCUUUAAAAUAAUAAAAAAG
Long non-coding RNA from Mus musculus (house mouse), 819 nucleotides. RefSeq annotates it as predicted gene, 39318. NCBI's taxonomy places the organism in Eukaryota, Metazoa, Chordata, Mammalia, Rodentia, Muridae. The record is from RefSeq and is a predicted model, not a curated record. The transcript is spliced from 3 exons.